GCCUACACAUGCAGUCGAGGGGUAUUCAGUUUUCGGACUGGAGAGACCGGCGCACGGGUGCGUAACGCGUAUGCAAUCUACCUUUUACAGGGGAAUAGCCCAGAGAAAUUUGGAUUAAUGCCCCAUAGUAUAUAAACUUCGCAUGUUGUUUAUAUUAAAGUUCCAACGGUAAAAGAUGAGCAUGCGUCCCAUUAGUUAGUUGGUAAGGUAACGGCUUACCAAGACGAUGGUGGGUAGGGGUCCUGAGAGGGAGAUCCCCCACACUGGUACUGAGACACGGACCAGACUNNUACGGGAGGCAGCAGUGAGGAAUAUUGGACAAUGGGCGCAAGCCUGAUCCAGCCAUGCCGCGUGCAGGAAGAAGCAUCUAUGGUGUGUAAACUGCUUUUGUACAGGAAGAAACACUCCCUCGUGAGGGNAGCUUGACGGUACUGUAAGAAUAAGGAUCGGCUAACUCCGUGCCAGCAGCCGCGGUAAUACGGAGGAUCCAAGCGUUAUCCGGAAUCAUUGGGUUUAAAGGGUCCCGUAGGCGGUCUAAUAAGUCAGUGGUGAAAGCCCAUCGCUCAACGAUGGAACGNCCAUUGAUACUGUUA
This 593-nucleotide ribosomal RNA is filed under the name uncultured Flavobacteriales bacterium. Its description in RNAcentral is "bacterial SSU rRNA". It matches the Rfam family "Bacterial small subunit ribosomal RNA", at positions 46 to 638 of the family's 1533-position model. Lineage: Bacteria; Pseudomonadati; Bacteroidota; Flavobacteriia; Flavobacteriales. The record is from RNAcentral.